RNAcentral lists this long non-coding RNA (263 nucleotides) under Ictidomys tridecemlineatus (thirteen-lined ground squirrel). RNAcentral's name for it is "lncRNA (ENSSTOG00000031340.1)". Lineage: Eukaryota; Metazoa; Chordata; Mammalia; Rodentia; Sciuridae. The record is from RNAcentral.
AAAAGCAGGAUUUCGCGUAAUAAGAGAUGGCAGAAACAGAGCCCAGGCCACACCCAGGUAAUACACCUGCAGUGGUGUCCCCGGAUGAAGCCACAGGAACAGACUGCUGUUGUCUGGUUAAAGCUGAAGACGAUGUAUUUAAAGAACCAAUGAAGAAAAGACGCCGGUCGGGCCCAGGCCAGCGAUUCCGAGCCCUUCAGUCAGCAGAACAGUGCGCUCUUAAGGAAUGUGAGUUUAUAAAACUGUGGUGUACCUUGUUUAAC